GGUAAUGUCUGAGGGGUCCUAUGACAGAGGCCUGCUGUGAACAACUUCAAUAAUGAUUCAUUCAUGUUCUGUUUUCCGCUUCAGGUUGGCCCAAUGAAAGAUGUCAGUCAGGACGGCUCCCUUCUUGAUAACUGUGACUCUCUUCUGUCUGGCAGCGGGUCAGAGGCCGUUCACUGUGAAUGUGAGCAGGGAGAACCACCAGGCAGUGGAACACAGUAACACCACGCUGACAUGGCUCUUCCCUGUCAGUACCGACAUGUCUUCCGCCUCACUGCACAUACAUAUUCGGAGCGUGGACCCGCUAAGGACGGUUUUCCUCUAUGACAGUCCGCCUGAGGCUGAGCCAUAUCAAGAUGAAGACUACAGAGGCCGGGCCUGGUGUGAUCCAGAGCUCGCCAGGAAAGGACGGAUCGAGUGUCUCCUGACUGAUCUGAGGCUCAGCGACACAGGCUCCUAUCAGUGUAUUGUUGCCGUUAAUAGAGAUUCCAACCACAAGGCGUGUCACCUCAAUGUUACAGGUAAGAUGUCAUCACUGACGAGUUGAAUGUUGUUUGACAGUCAUGGGAUGAACAUUGAUAUUAACCCAGUUAAACCGGGGCCACUGUGUUAUUAGUGACACGAAUUAGCAAAGCUCCACUGUUGUCCCAUUCUUUUAAUAUGAUGUGUUCAAGGGCCUGAUUGUGGACGUCGGGAACGACAGACAGACAUGUAGUGUAACAUAACUGAAGAACAGUGAUGUUGCAUCUGGGAUGCUCCCCAACACCUCGAUGACAAUUCUGGCAUGUCAGAAUGUUUAGUAUCUUCCUACCUAGUUUGACAUCUCCUACAAUGAGAUUAUUGACUUUGAUCAAUAGGAUGACAGAGUGCUGUGACACAUGCAAACACGGUGAAGAGGCAGAGGGAUGCUGCUGUCAGUAAUGUAAAGAUUCUGACAUGUACACGUUCAUUAACUUUCCUCUAGUUCAACCAAGUCUUCCAACCAAGACAUGUAUGUCUCUGUGACUGCUUGAUCUGACACGGUGACCAUCGUGAACGACAUCAAAAUUGUGUAGUUUGAUCCCAGCCUUACCCACAGUGCACCAGUGUUGAUUUGAUUUAACAACUGCAUCAUGUGUGUCAAGAUACCUCUUCACUGCACGCUGAUGGAAAGUCAGGUGAAGUUUCCUCAAAACAUUUCUGCAGGUUCGCAGCAAAAAAACUGAUGCAGCUUUCUGCUCAACAACUGAAGCAGCUGGAGACUUGUUUUAAAUGUUAGAAAAGAAAAAGAACAAACAGUUGGUUUCUAAUCAGCUUUGUCAGCCAAUUAUAUGAUAUUUCAUGAGUAUCACGUGGUGUCUGUGUGUCAGUAUCAACAGUCUUGGUAGCUGCCAGUUUGUGGAGUGAUGAUUUUCCCAGUUGUUGUAAUUAAAGUCAAACCUCAUCAACAUCGUCUCAUCAAGACCAACAUGGAGCCAACUGGGCUCAGAGAAGGUCGUGAACAAGAUGAACAUCACAAGGAAUCUGCUCAUACUGACAACUGAAGUUCUGGUUCCUGCUCAGUUCUGUGAGCUGCUGAUAUAAUUGAGCAGCUCUACAAUGUUUAAGUCAGGAGACGACGUCACUAACGACACUGUAUCGUCUUUAUAAUGACGUAAUUUCACCGUCUGAUGUUUCAAUAGUUUGAUGAUGAACUGACAAACAUCAUCUGUGUGAUUCAUGACACAGUUUAAACAGAUCAGUAAAUAAUUUGUCUCUCUUUAUUCACUGACAUACAAAGUUUUUAUGAAAUAAGGUCCCAUGGGUCCACCGGAAGGGGCGUGGCUUCAGGGCUGAAGAAUCAAUUACCAAAUUAUGAUACAUUAUUUUUUGAUGAAACAACUCAGAAGUAUAUAAAGUUAUUAUUUAUUUAUGACCACCUUAUCAGCCACAACAUUAAAGUCAUGCUCACAUAUUAAUGCUAUAAUAAUAUGUAUAAUUAUAAUCCUUUAUUUCCUGUUGACAGAAAUCUGGAGAUGGUGGUUAAUAUUUGUUGAAUCUCUUCACAGCUGCCAGCAGUCAAGCAGUGACUGAGCCCUCAAAGCCAGCGAGCCGAGGAAGGAUCGGACUCUAUGCAGGUUUUGGUUUGUUUACAGCAGUAAAAGCAGCACUUGUAGUUUACUUGACUUACAAACACUUUAUAAUGAGAAGUACUCUAACAAGGCAAACACCUGUGAAGUAAUGUGUUUUAUAUUUUGGUUAGGGAUGCACGAUAUGGAUUGUUUAUACUGACCAAAUAACCUAUAAUUUCACAUUUUUAUAUUUUGGAAAGAAAUGAACAAUAGCAGCCGCUUGAGCGUGAAAACAGCGCUCUUCUUCUCCUCGUCCUUCUUCUUCUUCUUCUUCUCCUCAUCCUUCUUCUUCUUCUUCUUCUCCUCGUCCUUCUUCUUCUUCUCUGUUAAUUGGCAGAUCACAAAAACAUUUCCAAUUAUUGCCUAUAUUUUCACAGAUAUUAUUAAUAGCUGAUACAUUUCACACUAUAAGGCCAAUAAUUCAUCAUGCAUCCCUAAUUUUGGUUUGUUAAAUACCUCAAGCAUAGAAGAGUGAAUUGGAUUUGUCAUCCUGGUGCUAUUGUUAUACCUCAGUCAGUCUACUCAGUAGAAGUGAGACCACAACAGUUGGUCUGUGUUUUCAUUUAAGCCAUCCUUUUUCUUUUCAUGUUAAUUAUUAACAGAUUAUUUGCAGUCACAGAUUUCGAUGGUGUGAAUUUCAGGUGUGGAGCGGAAGUGAAAAGUAGAACGGAAAGAAAAAAGCUACAGUUCUUAUGUGUUGUUGUUCAUUUACAACAAAUAACUUUAACAUUACAAAGUAAGGAAACAGUUAGCUCCCGAAUGUUUGAGACAUUGAAGACAAUGGAUGGUAAAAAUCCAGAGACAUCAGUCAGUAUUUCAAUAUAAAACAGCAUAUUUGAUCAACAUCAGUUUCUGUUAAACAACAGCUAAUAUUAGCAAUUCAACUGCCAACAUAAUCUGUCUUCUAACGGAAGCUAAUGUUUAUCAAAUAUGUUGUUGUACCUUGAAAUAUGGCCUGACGUCCCACUAGAUCUUCAGUCUCCAUCACCACAUCAGUUGCUGGUCAUUGCAAAGUGGUGAAAUGGAAAAUUGUUGUCAGAUUACCACAUUUAUACAAGUUGCAAACUAGAAAACAGCAACAUUACAUUAUUCCAGCAUUCAAGCAUCGCACCCUGAACCUGAUGUCAGGGUAAAAUGUGUGAAUAUGGUCUAAGUAAUUAUUUUAACAGGAGCCUUGUGUGUCACUACAUGUAUUACUCUGAAUCAUAAAUCACUUCCUGCCUUCCAUCUGCAGUUUGCGCCAUUAGCUACGGAAUGACGUGACAUCCUAUGCAAACAAAGUUUUUUGCCUCGCUACCUCACCAAGAUAUUAAUGUGAAACACUCCGUUUUACCUCUUCUUAUGCUGCUGUUGCUGCUAUGUGUAAUCUGUUUAUAAGGAAUACUUUAGACGUUCAAACGUGGAUAGUGAAGGGUAAAACAGAUGUGCAACACAGCUAAAAAGGUACAGUAACUACCUUUAUGUUUGACUUUCUGGCCGUCUGUAUCAUCAAAACUCAGCAGCACUGUCGAGACAGUAUUCCUGCCGAUCAAAGGUGAACACUGGUGUUUCAGAAGAUGCCAAAGUUGAACACAUUUUGAAUAUUUUGAAAUUACUUACUUGGAGAUGUGCCAGAGUGAUUUCAUUAUAAUUUCCUCAUUGGUCAUGUUAAGAAUUCUGAUGUGUCCAGGCCUCCAGUACCUCAGUCGAACCUGUUUUCUGUCCUUUCAGAAUGAGGCAUUUCCUCCCUUACCUCUCGCCAGACAUGUGACUCAAGUCAUUUGCUGCACUUUAAUGUAAAAGUUAUCAACACGUUGAGAUUGUCGACAGAGACCUUUUAACUGAUGUUAAACUAUCCUCAUGGAUCUCUGCCUCGACACCAAGUUCAAAUCAUGGAUGUAUUACGAAUCAAUUUUUCAUCUCAAUGUUACACUAAUAUUCUUCCGUGCUACCUCCCAGAGUAACGAUGCUUCGGUGAUUGAAGGUGAAUGAAUGAUCUUUGAUUCUUUUAUCCUCAUCUGUAUUUUUGUUUCUCAUUUGCUCUUUUGUAAGAUGAUGUUUCAUACUGUAUGUAGAGUGUGGUCUUUGGUUUCUAGUUAUUUCUUUGUAUCUUUCUAUCAAUCUUCUUAUGAUGUCAUACAUUGUAACUCCUGCAUAUGAAACACUUGAAUCAGCUGUACAACAGACUGAUUAAUCUGACUUCAAUAAACAGAUUACUAAAACAGAUGAACUUGUGAGUCAUUUGCGGACGACGCCAUGUUGAGAGGACAGGAAACAGUGAUCUGCAAUACA
This 4358-nucleotide long non-coding RNA is filed under the name Sparus aurata (gilthead seabream). Its description in RNAcentral is "lncRNA (ENSSAUG00010001416.1)". Lineage: Eukaryota; Metazoa; Chordata; Actinopteri; Spariformes; Sparidae. The record is from RNAcentral.